This 305-nucleotide ribosomal RNA is filed under the name uncultured bacterium. RNAcentral describes it as "bacterial SSU rRNA". It matches the Rfam family "Bacterial small subunit ribosomal RNA", at positions 335 to 657 of the family's 1533-position model. The record is from RNAcentral.
CCACCUACGGGGCGCAGCAGUGGGGAAUAUUGCACAAUGGGGGAAACCCUGAUGCAGCGACGCCGCGUGAGCGAGGAAGUACCUCGGUAUGUAAAGCUCUAUCAGCAGGGAAGAAGAUGACGGUACCUGAGUAAGAAGCCCCGGCUAACUACGUGCCAGCAGCCGCGGUAAUACGUAGGGGGCAAGCGUUAUCCGGAUUUACUGGGUGUAAAGGGAGCGUAGACGGCUGCGCAAGUCUGAAGUGAAAGCCCGGGGCUCAACCCCGGGACUGCUUUGGAAACUGUGUAGCUAGAGUGAUGGAGAGG